CAAUUGGUACUGUCCUUUUAAGACCACCUGCCAAUCAAAUUAAUCAAGUGGGAGGCGGUCAGUGUUAGCAAACAGAGAGUUUAGUACACCAAACAAGCUAGCACAAUUCCAGUGUGAUUAUACAUUACAAGGCCUAAGCGAGCACAACAUCUUUCCCUGAUUUAGCGACUCGGAGUAAUGGCUCUGCGCUGACAGGCUUGUAUGUGGGCAGAUAUACUUGCUUUAAAAAGCCUGGUAUCUCGUUCUGAGGCUGGAUGCAUUGAAAGCACCUUAGCAAUGCCACAGUUCACAUGGACAAGCUGUGUGGUGCUGCAACUCUUGGGAAUCAAUAGCCAUCGUGCCAUGAACCCCAGCAGCUUCCUACAAAAAAAUCAAUAGGGGCCGUUUGUGGCUUAGCAGCCAUCAGUUGAUGUUGAUAAUGGAAGGGGCAGAGAGAGGCAGAGUAGAGGGCUCACUCUGAGAGCCCGCUGAGGGUUCAUCUCCAUGGAACCGCCCUCCUCUCAACGGCAGAGACACGCACUGACUUCUAACCAGACCUUUCUAUGAGAGUGCAAGAAAACCAUCGGCUCACUGUGUUCCUGUUUACAACCAGCUAAUGUUGAACUUUUAAAGUAUUUUUUUGCAAAAAAAAGCAUACCUUAAAAAUCUGCACAUCCUAAGGACAUUUGUGCUGGGUUUAGGUGAGUCUUUCAUGUGACUUUGUGAUGUGUUUAGUUUUUCCAUUAACAGAAAAAAAGUUAAUAAAAAAAAUGUACAAAUUAAAUAUGAAAUAAAAUGAGUUUUAUGUUCAUAAUAUUU
RNAcentral lists this long non-coding RNA (798 nucleotides) under Sinocyclocheilus anshuiensis. RNAcentral's name for it is "lncRNA (ENSSANG00000048432.1)". The record is from RNAcentral. Lineage: Eukaryota; Metazoa; Chordata; Actinopteri; Cypriniformes; Cyprinidae.